CUCCUGUGGCAUUUACAGCUAAAUAAGGAAAACACCUUGUGCAAUCAGACCAAAUAAUCCUCUACUACACUCCAUCCAUCAUGACAGGAGGGAAACAAUGGGAGGCAGGACAAGUACGACCAAUCAUGUUUGGACAACCAUGCUAUAAAGUAAGCCAUACCACAAUAUGGCACUAUUAAAAUGAAAAUACAGCAAGCAAAAGACAAUGGCACUUUAAGCAAACACUAAGUUUGAUUAACAAGUCUCAUCCUUUCUCCCCCAAUCACAUAGCAACUCCUCG
This 280-nucleotide long non-coding RNA is filed under the name Citrus maxima (pomelo). Its description in RNAcentral is "long non-coding RNA (CMAX_LNC000560)". Lineage: Eukaryota; Viridiplantae; Streptophyta; Magnoliopsida; Sapindales; Rutaceae. The record is from RNAcentral.